RNAcentral lists this unclassified non-coding RNA (366 nucleotides) under uncultured fungus. RNAcentral describes it as "sequence contains ITS1". The stretch from base 1 to 105 matches the Rfam family "5.8S ribosomal RNA", at positions 50 to 154 of the family's 154-position model. The record is from RNAcentral. Lineage: Eukaryota; Fungi.
CAGCUGCGAGACUUGGUGUGAAUUGCAGGACACAUUGAGCACUGAUUUUUCGAACGCGCAUUGCGGCCUCGGGUCCUGCCCGGGGCCUCGCCUGUCUGAGGGUCGGAUAAGACUUGCAAAGGAAUUAAUUUUUCCAUUUGGCCGCACCGGAUCGCUUAGGUGGUCCGCCGGCUCAAGGUCUACGGAUCCUCCCUGGCCGAGAAGCGUGGCUCCCACCGACCAACGCUCGCGGGCUGGAGAAGACUGAGUAGUUUCUCCGCUGAAGCGAGUUGUGGAGCGAGCGCAAAGAGCAUGCCUGGAGAUAUCCAAAACUUUUAUAAAAACAUUGUCGACCUCAGAUCAGACGAGAUGACCCGCUGAAUUUAA